Molecule: small nuclear RNA, 104 nt
Organism: Suricata suricatta (meerkat)
Lineage: Eukaryota; Metazoa; Chordata; Mammalia; Carnivora; Herpestidae
Source: Ensembl
GUGCUCACUUCAGCAGCACGUGUGGUCAGAUUGGAAUGAUGCCGAGAUCAGCAUGGCCCCUGCACAGGGAUGACAUGCAAAAUGGUGAUUUAAAAAAAAAAAAA